This 206-nucleotide ribosomal RNA is filed under the name uncultured eukaryote. RNAcentral's name for it is "partial small subunit ribosomal RNA". The record is from RNAcentral.
UCCUGUGACAAUCCCUAGAAUCAGUUGCAGCUCAUCCGGUAUCGCAUCAUCUACCCUCUUGAGCAUCGCGGCGAUCCACGCCAGCCCUUGGGCAAAGGCGAUAGCAGCAUUGGCCACACCAAUGAAUGCCUCUUUGAGUUCGUUGUUUUCCUCGAUAAAGAGGCGGAGGUCGUUGAUUGCCGGAGUGACCUGGUUGUCGAGCAGGU